Long non-coding RNA from Mus musculus (house mouse), 1610 nucleotides. RefSeq annotates it as predicted gene, 34655. The transcript is spliced from 3 exons. The record is from RefSeq and is a predicted model, not a curated record. NCBI's taxonomy places the organism in Eukaryota, Metazoa, Chordata, Mammalia, Rodentia, Muridae.
GAGCCAGUCCCCUCCCCAUCUGCGCGCCGAUGCCUCUGAGCCUCCUCAGGAAACUUCUCGGUCUGGAGCCCGUUGGUCACUGCAGGCUCAGCGGACCGAGGUUAGGACGGAUCGGCCUCUCUAGUCAGAGCGUGCAGUGGUGAUCAGAUCCCACCGGGAAGGCAGCAUAAUCGCGUGGUCCCAGCCUUCAAGCUGCCUGCGCCGCACAUCUUGGACGGAAUGCCAAUAGUCAACUGGACCUGCUGUGACGAUCCUUGGCCUGCAACUCAGCAGUUGGAGAUGGCAUUUGUCUGACUUAGAAGGCCGUUGUGUUUGUGAGAGCAUCUUUCUGGCUCCCGUGAAAUGAACAGCCCUGUCCCACCAGACCCUCCUGCCACGUUCUACCGAUCCACCUGGCUGGGAGCCAGAAACAGUGGGUCCACAGACUGAAACUGUGCAUCAUGAUCAAUCAGUCUCUCUCUCUCUCUCUCUCUCUCUCUCUCUCUCUCUCUCUCUCUCUCUCUCUCUCUCGAUUGAUUUUGUGUAUGAGUGUUCUGCCUGCAUGUACACCUGCAUGCCAGAAGAGGGCAUCACAUCCUUUUAUAGAUGGUUGUGAUUGCUGAGAAUUGAACUCAGGACCUAUGGAAAACCAGCCAGUGCUCUCAACUGCUGAGCCAUCUCUCCAUCCCUGAAUUUCUCCCUUUAAAUUAUUUCUCUCGUCGGGCGUGGUGGCGCACGCCUUUAAUUCCAGCACUCGGGAGGCAGAGGCAGGCGGAUUUCUGAGUUCGAGGCCAGCCUGGUCUACAAAGAGAGUUCCAGGACAGCCAGAGCUCUAAAGAGAAACCCUGUCUUGAAAAACCAAAAAACAAAACAAAACAAAACAAAAAAAACAAAAAAAAAUUAUUUCUCUCAUGUAUCUGUCACAGUGGUAAUAAAAACGAACAUACCUUAUUUUUUAAAUUCUUUUCAAGCUUAUGGGUAUCUUCUUACAUAGUAGAUUUGUAUCUUUCUACUUAUUAUUGUUUCCUUCCUAUAUUGAAUUACUUAAUCCACCUAGGAUUUAGUUUGGCAAACACAGGGAGUUAGAAUGUAACUUUAUUACUUCUAAGAAUAAUUAGGCAAUUAUACUAGCAGUAAGAUUCUACCUCUCUCCCUCAUUACAGCUCUAAAUUUUAAUAUAUGCAUUAAAGUCUAUUUCCAUGUUAUCACUCUUUCUCCCUUGGGCUAUUUUUGUACUUAUAGGAGAAAGUUCAUAAUUUUAGUUUUAAAUAUUUAUAAUAAAAAAGGAAGAAAAAUUAUCUUCAAUGAUACCCUUAUAUUUGGGGGAGCUAGGAGACAAGUAUUGAUUGAGCCCCUAAGUUAGAUCCCGCCUAAGCAAUAUAAGACCUUGUCUCUCUCUCUUUUUUUUUAAUUAUCUACAGAGAUAGGCUUUUUGAAGAGAGUUAUUAAUACCUCAGACAGCAUGAAGUAAGUCUGAGGAGAGAAAGCCUUUAGUUCCCACAGGCGAAUCAGUUUCUGCUCCUCUGUCUUGCAAUCCAGGGGGCUGGGAUUAUGUUCCGAGCCUCUGAGCCCUGAUAAUCUGCUCUACUGGGUGUUUUUUUCCUGCUAAAUGUCACUUUCCAAAAAAAAAA